RNAcentral lists this long non-coding RNA (2696 nucleotides) under Mus musculus (house mouse). RNAcentral's name for it is "long non-coding RNA chr9:21275068-21277764". The record is from RNAcentral. Lineage: Eukaryota; Metazoa; Chordata; Mammalia; Rodentia; Muridae.
UGCCUCCCUAAUGCUGGGGUUACAGAUGUGCACCAGGGUGCAGUCCUCCUGACCCUUUAUCUGAGUGCUGCAGGCAUGCCCUCAAUCUCUCAAGUCUGAACCAUGAUGACCCCUCACCAAGAGGGACUGACUGGCCUCUAGCUUACACAUCUGCUGUCAGCUCCAUGGGCUGCUGCCACCCUCCCCGGCCCAGUGCUUACUCUUCCUGGCACAGAGACUUGAAGAUCUGCCUCUUCUUCCACAUGUUCUGGGCCUUCUGGCUGUACACCCGCUGCUCCUGCAUCUCCUCCUGCUCCGACCUGUGCACCAGAGGUGUUCUAGACGCUGUCCAAACUAUCUUCCCUCCUCCCCCACCUCCCUGCUGUCACCUGUACAUGCAGGUCUUCUUCAGGGAACACCAGCGAUUCAGUUCCUUGUCAUCAGCUGAAAGGAUCUGCAUGAGGAGGAAGAUACCUACUGUGUGGUCCUGGGGCUGCCUCUGAGCCUCAGUGACUCAGCAGGGGUGGCAAGAGGGCGGGGGACAACUGAGUUUGGUGUUUUGAUAUUGAGGCAGGGUUUGUUUGAAUGUCUACCUGUAGCUCAGGCUAUCUUGGAAUUCCCAGCAGUCCCCUCCUACCUCAGCCUCUAGUGCUGGCCUCCAUUAACAGUUUCAGCUGUUAGUGACAGAGACAGCACCGAACUCCAGAUCUCCCUGUCUGACCUCUUCACAGAGGGUGUUCACCUCCUCCAGUCCCUUGCCCCUCCCUCAAUUUUCCCUGCCGGCCCUGGUCCCAACCUCCUCUGUGCUGAGCCCGAAGUCGCAGGGCACCACAGUGCGGUACUUGAAACGACAGGGCAGGUCGUCGAUAAUGUCCUCGUAGUCCAGACGGUAGUACUCAUCUAGGUACUCCUCAAAGGUCUUGUCCCCUGCACAGGAGAUGCACAGCCGGGUAGUAUGUGUUCAAAGCCCCAUGAGGCACACUGCCCCAUCAUGCCAUGCACCUCACCAGGGUCAAACAUGGGCUUCUCCUGCCCCACUGCAGCUGCAAAUGGAGACUUGCGCUUUCUCUUGCCUGAGGUGGGGGCCUCACGAAGCUUCUUCCGUGGUUGGCUGGGGUCAUAGUCUGCAUCCAUCUAUCAGAAAGAGCAGGUCAGAUCAGGCCAGUUCUAAACACUUCUGGAGCAUCCAGACCCCACCAGGGACACUCGUUGUUCUCAAGGUCUCAUACAACCCAUGCUGGCCUCAAAUGUGCUCUGCGGCCAAGGCUUGGAACAUGUUCACAGAAAGCUCUUGCUGUCAACUGCACCUACUUCAGACUCACACCAGUGGCACUCACGUUAAAGUCAGGGUCCUCACAGUGCAGCUCCUGUUGGCUCCAGGCCCCAUCUUGCUCGGGUCCACCCCACAUGUCCCAGUUCCAGUCAUCUGGUUCCACGGAGGACAGACAAAGUGAGACCAGCACUGCACUGCACUGCACCAGCCCUGCUCCCCCCUCUUUCUAAGACACGCACCUUCUAGCCCGUCCUCUUCCUCAAACUGUGGCUUCUCUUCCUCCGCAGUACCAUAGAAGGCAUCUCCAAAACAUUUCUGCAAGGGAAGGGCAGGCCUAAGGGGCAGCAGCACCGACAGCUACAGGAGCUCAGCCGCCCCAUGCCAAUGCCAGCACAACUCAGCCUUGUACAAGACAGGAUGUCAUGUAGGCCAGGCUAGACGCAAACUAUGUACCAUAGGCUAGCCUUGACAUUGUGAUCCAUUUGCUUCCACCCAAGUGUGGUAAGUGCAGACGUGUGAAUGAGGUUUUUGCUUUAUUGAGAGAAAGUCUUAUAGUCCUGCCUCAGACUCUCAAGUGCUAGGAUUCUAAGCUCAUGCCAACACACCCAACUUUGUGUGGCUCCUGAGUCUUCCAAGAAAUGGUCUCCUGUGUGCUGAGACCUUCCACAGCACCUCCUGUUUAGGGUGCAGUGGUUUCACACAACAGCUACUACAUCUCUGUAGGAUUCAGACCCUGCCAUCACUUGUGCCCCUCUACCCAUGACAUAGUCGCUACUCAGGACUCUACUGAGCUGUCAUCAUUCCUGAUAGGCUGAGAGGAAGUUUCCUCCAAGAUCCUACCUACACUAGACAUGGUACACACCUGAGCCCAGGGGAUCAGGAGUAGCAGGCUGGCCUGGACUACAAAAUGAGCCUGAGCCUGGAACUCAGGUGAUAGGAUGCUGUCCCAAUACACACAAAAACCCUGGCACCACCCCUAACACUACAAUCCAUAUCUGAGCCACAGUUGUGAUUCUACAAGGACACUGCAGCCACGGGUCUCCAUGGCUACCAUGAUCCCUGAGUCUAUACAGGUAUACAGUAGGCUCACAAUUACAUGGCAGUUGGGGCUGGGCACAUCACCACAGAAACACAUCUAUUGCGGGCCUACCAGAAGACAACAUGAUCUACUGUGCAUUUAUUUUCAUUUUUUACUGCCUUUAUUUUUACUCAGUGUGUAUGGAGCUUUGCCUGCAUGUAUGCCUACACCACAUGCAUGUGUGACGCUCCUGAAGGCCAGAAGAGGGAAUCAGAUCCCCUUAGACUGUAGUUACAGUGAGCUAUGAGGUGACUUGGAGGCGAUGGGAACUGAACGUUGGUCUUCUGGAAGAAUAGCCAAUACGCUUUAAGGCUGAGCCAUCUCUUUAGGCCUAUCGUGCACAUAAUAAAGAAUUUGCAUAUGCUC